Molecule: ribosomal RNA, 426 nt
Filed under: uncultured bacterium
Lineage: Bacteria
Description: partial 16S ribosomal RNA
Rfam family: Bacterial small subunit ribosomal RNA
Source: RNAcentral
GUGAGGAAUUUUCCGCAAUGGGCGAAAGCCUGACGGAGCAAUGCCGCGUGAAGGAUGAAGGCCUAUGGGUUGUAAACUUCUUUUCUCAGAAAAGAAUUAUGACGGUAUCUGAGGAAUAAGCAUCGGCUAACUCUGUGCCAGCAGCCGCGGUAAGACAGAGGAUGCAAGCGUUAUCCGGAAUGAUUGGGCGUAAAGCGUCUGUAGGUUGUUUAAAAAGUAUUCUGUCAAAGAUUAGGGCUUAACCCUAGAUAGGCAGAAUAAACUUUUAAGCUAUAGUUUGGUAGAGGCAGAGGGAAUUCCCGGUGGAGCGGUGAAAUGCGUAGAUAUCGGGAGGAACACCAAAGGCGAAGGCACUCUGCUGGGCCAAUACUAACACUGAGAGACGAAAGCGAGGGGAGCAAAUGGGAUUAGAAACCCGUGUAGUCC